RNAcentral lists this ribosomal RNA (483 nucleotides) under uncultured Sulfurihydrogenibium sp. RNAcentral describes it as "bacterial SSU rRNA". It matches the Rfam family "Bacterial small subunit ribosomal RNA", at positions 29 to 530 of the family's 1533-position model. Lineage: Bacteria; Pseudomonadati; Aquificota; Aquificia; Aquificales; Hydrogenothermaceae. The record is from RNAcentral.
CGCGAACGUUGGCGGCGUGCCUAACACAUGCAAGUGGUGGGGCAGCAGGCUACUGUCUUUUGGCAGUAGUGCUGGCGACCGGCAAACGGGUGAGUAACACGUAGCUUACCUACCCAUAGGUUGGGGAUAACAUCCCGAAAGGGGUGCUAAUACCCAAUAAUGAGGAGACUCCAAAGCCCUUAUGGGCGCCUAUGGAUGGGGCUGCGUCCCAUCAGCUAGUUGGUGAGGUAAUGGCUCACCAAGGCUACGACGGGUAACCGGUCUGAGAGGAUGACCGGUCACAGUGGGACUGAGACACGGCCCGCACCCCUACGGGGGGCAGCAGUGGGGAAUAUUGGGCAAUGGCCGAAAGGCUGACCCAGCAACGCCGCGUGGUGGAUGAAGCCCUUCGGGGUGUAAACACCUUUUCUGGGGGAAGAUAAUGACGGUACCCCAGGAAUAAGGGACGGCUAACUACGUGCCAGCAGCCGCGGUAAUACGUAG